RNAcentral lists this long non-coding RNA (331 nucleotides) under Chinchilla lanigera (long-tailed chinchilla). RNAcentral describes it as "lncRNA (ENSCLAG00000025741.1)". Lineage: Eukaryota; Metazoa; Chordata; Mammalia; Rodentia; Chinchillidae. The record is from RNAcentral.
GCUGUUUCUAAGAGAUCAGAAGCCACCAGAACUGGAACAGGAACUACGCCCUGGGAGACGAAGACACUGAAGUACAGUAUACUGGCUGGCGGGGGGCACAUUUUCUGUUACACUAUAAUCUUCAGCUAGGAAGUUAAGAGAACUAGCUAGACCAAAUGACAGACAUCUGUACAAAGCAUCAGACUCAAAGCCAGAGACAUCUAUAUUUUCAGAGUUGGAGAUCAGUAUUACCCACUUUCAAGCUAAUUUCAUAAUACUAAAUAUGCAUUGCAUCCCUGCCAGUGAAUGUUGCAGUAAUUCAAUAAAGUGUCUCUCCAUUAUAAAAACCCAC